This is a long non-coding RNA of Mustela lutreola (European mink), 2576 nucleotides long. RefSeq lists it as uncharacterized. The record is from RefSeq and is a predicted model, not a curated record. NCBI's taxonomy places the organism in Eukaryota, Metazoa, Chordata, Mammalia, Carnivora, Mustelidae. The transcript is spliced from 3 exons.
UGUUACAUGGCAGAGCAAUCAGACAGUCGAACGGCUCUGGAGCAGCUGUCCUUGAACUGUCCCGGAGCGACGGGGCGGCGAGGAGACUCCCAGCCCGGGAGUAGGAUUCUGUGGACUCGGAUUUGGAAACCAUGCUUCUUCGCUCAGGGAGGAGGAGCAGAGGAAGAGGGAAAAAGAGAAUCUCAAGCAGACUUUCCUCUGAGCAUGGAGCCGGACGUGGGGAUUUAUCCCAGAACGCUAAGAUCAUGACCUAAGCUUCAAUCAAGAGUGAAUAAUUGGCAUCACUAGCCGCCCAGUUGCUCAGAGCUGAGGACUGGAGUCUUAAAAGACAAUGGACACUGCGUUUUCACGGCUGGGGUCCAGGUCUCAUAGGAGGAGUCCCAAGGGAUGAAGCUGAAACAAUACGCAGGGGAAAGCUCCAAAAAGGCACAGCAACAAUACUAAGUUACUUAAAUCUUUGCUGGAUAGGAGAUUUUUGAAGAAUUUUCAGCUGAGGACAGACAUGAUAAGAUUUGCUGGUCGGGGGGCACCUGGGUGGCUCAGUGGGUUAAAGCCUCUGUCUUCAGCUCAGGUCAUGAUCCCAGGGUCCUGGGAUCGAGCCCUACAUCAGGCUCUCUGCUCAUCGGGGAGCCUGCUUCCUCCUCUCUCUCUCUGCCUGCCUCUCUGCCUACUUGUGAUCUCUGUCUGUUAAAUAAAUAAAAUCUUUAAAAAAACAAAAAAGAUCUGCCGGUCAGGUUGAUCCCUAUGAGUGAAUAGCAGGAAGGACUGGAGUAGGGCUAGAUGCUGAGAUUCUUUACGAGGCUACUUUCACUGUCCACAGAAGAAAUAAACCAAGGAAUUGAGAAUGCAGAGGAAGAUUGGAUUUGCAUAAUAUUCAAUACUUGAAUAAAUGGGAAGAUUUAGUGACUUAGUAGACAUGGGGCUUGAGGAACAGGGAAGGUUCCAAGUUGAUUUCCAUAAGGGAUUUGGUGGGGACUGGUGACAUCAAUGAGAGGGUAAAUACAGGAAAAGAAACAGAUUUGGGAGCGGGAAGACUGGAGAAUGUAAUUAGCUUAUCUAUAAGUUUUAUAACCACCCUGACAGAGAACUGUCUAGCCUUUGAAGAGUAUUCAAGUAUAAGAACUAGAAAAUGAAUUUAAUUUAAAAGACUGCUCUCAUUGAAAAUGUAUACUAUCGAGUGGUCAUAAGAAGAAGACUCACCCCUGUUCAUUUCAGAGUUAUUUAAGAAGUUAACAUUUGAGAAAUUGCCUAAAAGAGUUAUUCUUCAACAAAUUCUUUUUUUUAAAAAAUAUUUUGUUUUUAUUCAUUUGACAGAGAGAAAGAUAUCAGGCAGAGAGGCAGGCAGAGAGAGCAGGGGAAGAAGGCUCUCCAUUGAGCAAAGAGCCCAAUGUGGGGCUUGAUCCCAGGACCCUGGGAUCAUGACCUGAGCCAAAGGCAGAGGCUUAACCCACUGAGCCACUCAGGUGCCCCUCUUCAACAAAUUCUUAUAAGAGUUAGUUAAAAGCUAUUUUAGGUGACUAGAUAAACCUUAAUUGUAUCAACAUAAGCUCAAUCAUGAAGAUAAAGUAUUCCUGAAAUUAAAAUAUAUGCCAGUAAAAAAUAUUAUUUGAUUCACAGAACAUAACUAAUUAUAAUUUUCCCUAGAAAAUAUCUAUUUCUUGGGGCUCCUGGGUGGCUCAGUUGGUUAAGCAGUUGCCUUUGGCUCAGAUCAUGAUCCCAGGGUCCUGGGAUUGAGCCCCACAUUGGGUUCCCUCCUCAGCAGAGAGCCUGCUUCUCCCUCUCCCUGCUGCUCUGCCUACUUGUGCUAUCUCUUUGUCAAAUAAAUUAAAAAAAAAACCUUUAAAAAAAGAAAAUAUCUAUUUCAUAAAGUGAGGCAUACUUGAACUAAAAGUCACAACCAUCUUUUGAUUGGCUGUGAGAUUAAAUUUAAGAAACUAAACUGAAUUUAGUCUUUAUUAGAAAAUGAGUACAUAAAUCAGUGCUGUAUUUGUUGUUCCUUUGCAUGUCUUCUAUCUUAGUAGUCUUCCUACUUGAUGUUGGCAAAAACUGUUUUGUACAUAGUUUUGUACUCCUACGGUAUCUGGCACAGUGCCCCAUAAAGAGUAGGUGUUUAAUAAUAUUUUUAGGUAAAUAAAAGUGAUAAGAGGCAAAUAAUACUUAGAGGCUUAUAUAUCUAUAUCUACACUAGGACCUACAAAGAUGUAAACAAAGGCAAAAUACUUAUUAUUUAUAUUAUGUAUCAUAACGAAUACCUAGAGUAUUAUUAUUGUAUAUUGUGUGCAAUGUAUUAUAAGCCAGUUGCAAUUUAAAUUCAGAACAUGCAGGUGAAGUAUCUUUAACUCUCAGUGAUCCUCCACUGAAGCCAGUACAUCUACUCAUUUCACAGCGUGGCCUGAUCUUUUUUUUUUGAUGAUGGGCAUUUAUUCACAUUUUUCAUUAAAUAUUAAUUGAAAUGUUACAAUAUUCUUGACUAGAACUUUAUGUACUACCAUAAACAUAGUGGUAUAAACACAUAGUGGCGAACCACCUAGAAAACUAACAAAUAUGUAUGCAAGUGUAGUGGCCAAAAACUAAUA